Long non-coding RNA from Microtus oregoni (creeping vole), 363 nucleotides. RefSeq lists it as uncharacterized. NCBI's taxonomy places the organism in Eukaryota, Metazoa, Chordata, Mammalia, Rodentia, Cricetidae. The record is from RefSeq and is a predicted model, not a curated record. The transcript has 3 exons.
GGUUGUUUAGCUCUUCCAGUAUGAAACUCGACGUUGGAAAAGUUUGGCUCGAAGCGAAUGACCCUCUCUAGAAGUGACCAGACGCCUCUUUGUGUUCUCCUUUCGGCGACCAUCAACGGUUUUUUUCUCCAUUAUUCCGCCGUGUCCGUGUAAAAAUGAUUUGUAAUAUAGCCAAGACAAGAUGGAAUUUAGAGACUCCAACUUAAGGAGUAGAGCUAUUAUUAUUAAUGGCUUUAUUUAUCAUGACCUUAUGGCUUUAUUAUUAGUGCAUUUGUUAGCACUGGAUCACAAUCUGUUGUGUUAGGCAUUUUGUACUUAGUUUAAUUACAUACUCUGUAUAUUUAAUUAAUCAAUUAGUUAAUA